This 435-nucleotide ribosomal RNA is filed under the name uncultured bacterium. RNAcentral describes it as "partial 16S ribosomal RNA". It matches the Rfam family "Bacterial small subunit ribosomal RNA", at positions 29 to 507 of the family's 1533-position model. The record is from RNAcentral.
AGCGAACGCUGGCGGCAGGCUUAACACAUGCAAGUCGAACGGGCUUCUUCGGAAGUCAGUGGCAGACGGGUGAGUAACACGUGGGAACGUGCCCUUCGGUUCGGAAUAACUCAGGGAAACUUGAGCUAAUACCGGAUACACCCUUUUGGGGAAAGGUUGACUGCCGAAGGAUCGGCCCGCGUCUGAUUAGCUUGUUGGUGGGGUAACGGCCUACCAAGGCGACGAUCAGUAGCUGGUCUGAGAGGAUGAUCAGCCACACUGGGACUGAGACACGGCCCAGACUCCUACGGGAGGCAGCAGUGGGGAAUAUUGGACAAUGGGCGCAAGCCUGAUCCAGCCAUGCCGCGUGAGUGAUGAAGGCCUUAGGGUUGUAAAGCUCUUUUGUCCGGGACGAUAAUGACGGUACCGGAAGAAUAAGCCCCGGCUAACUUCGUG